Molecule: ribosomal RNA, 450 nt
Filed under: Klebsiella pneumoniae
Lineage: Bacteria; Pseudomonadati; Pseudomonadota; Gammaproteobacteria; Enterobacterales; Enterobacteriaceae
Description: partial 23S ribosomal RNA
Rfam family: Bacterial large subunit ribosomal RNA
Source: RNAcentral
GGUUAAGCGACUAAGCGUACACGGUGGAUGCCCUGGCAGUCAGAGGCGAUGAAGGACGUGCUAAUCUGCGAAAAGCGUCGGUAAGGUGAUAUGAACCGUUAUAACCGGCGAUGUCCGAAUGGGGAAACCCAGUGUGAUUCGUCACACUAUCGUUAACUGAAUACAUAGGUUAACGAGGCGAACCGGGGGAACUGAAACAUCUAAGUACCCCGAGGAAAAGAAAUCAACCGAGAUUCCCCCAGUAGCGGCGAGCGAACGGGGAGCAGCCCAGAGUCUGAAUCAGCUUGUGUGUUAGUGGAACGGUCUGGAAAGUCCGACGGUACAGGGUGAUAGUCCCGUACACCAAAAUGCACAGGCUGUGAACUCGAAGAGUAGGGCGGGACACGUGGUAUCCUGUCUGAAUAUGGGGGGACCAUCCUCCAAGGCUAAAUACUCCUGACUGACCGAUAG